RNAcentral lists this ribosomal RNA (814 nucleotides) under Paramecium bursaria. RNAcentral's name for it is "LSU rRNA". It matches the Rfam family "Eukaryotic large subunit ribosomal RNA", at positions 116 to 906 of the family's 3401-position model. Lineage: Eukaryota; Ciliophora; Oligohymenophorea; Peniculida; Parameciidae. The record is from RNAcentral.
GUUAAUCUGGUGUAAUAAGCACUAGAAUUGUAAUCUAAAGACCUUUUAGGGAAGCCGUGGAACUAGCGUAACCAUCAGGAAAGGUGGGUCAUAGAGGGUGAUAACCCCGUAUUCAGCUAGGUCCGGGUGUACCGAAUGAGUCCAAGAGUCGGGUUGUUUGGGAUUGCAGCCCUAAGUGGGAGAUAAACUUCUUCUAAAGCUAAAUAUUUAUGGGAAACCGAUAGCAAACAAGUACUACGAAGGAAAGAUGAAAAGAACUUUGAAAAGAGGGCUAAAAGACUUGAAAUCGUUGAGAAGAAAAGCGGUAGAAGAUAAAUGAUUUUACGAGGUAGUAUGGGCUAUAAUGGCUUCCUUCACUGUGAUGGUACUUAAUAGGGCCUAGCGGUGAAUCGAUUGUCAUUUAAGUUUUUUUACCUAGUAAAGUGCAAAAUGAGGUCUUAAUCACGGAAACUAAUUACGGAGGACUGGGGACUAGAUUUCUCAAGCCGUAUUAUCAACGUGAUUUUGGCCUGAGGGCUCCUUUUGGAGAUUUUGCAAAAAAGGCUUCUACUGACCCGUCUUGAAACACGGACCAAGGAGUCUACCCCAUAUGCAAGUUUUAGGGUGGAAAAACCCGAAAGCGCAACGAAAGUGAGUACAAGGUGUUAACCCGAAAAGGGUGCAGCAUCGACCAACCUUGAUUUUCGAAUGAAGGGAUUGAGUAAGAGCAUAUUUGGUAGGACCCGAAAGAUGGUGAACUACGCUUGAGUAGGGCGAAGCCAGGAGAAAUUCUGGUGGAGGCUCGAAGCGUUACUGACGUGCAAAUUCGAUCGUA